CCUACGGGAGGCAGCAGUGGGGAAUAUUGGACAAUGGGCGAAAGCCUGAUCCAGCAAUGCCGCGUGAGUGAUGAAGGCCUUAGGGUUGUAAAGCUCUUUUACCAGGGAUGAUAAUGACAGUACCUGGAGAAUAAGCUCCGGCUAACUCCGUGCCAGCAGCCGCGGUAAUACGGAGGGAGCUAGCGUUGUUCGGAAUUACUGGGCGUAAAGCGUACGUAGGCGGUUAUUCAAGUCAGAGGUGAAAGCCUGGAGCUCAACUCCAGAACUGCCUUUGAAACUAGAUAGCUAGAAUCUUGGAGAGGUGAGUGGAAUUCCGAGUGUAGAGGUGAAAUUCGUAGAUAUUCGGAAGAACACCAGUGGCGAAGGCGACUCACUGGACAAGUAUUGACGCUGAGGUACGAAAGCGUGGGGAGCAAACAGGAUUAGAUACCCUGGUAGUCCACGCCGUAAACGAUGAUAACUAGCUGUUCGGGCUCUACGAGCUUGAGUGGCGCNGCUACGACAUUAAGUUAUCCGUCCGUCGGGAGGUACGGUCGCGAGAAUUAAACUAACAAUAGAAGUUAGUACGGACGUGAGACGUACGCCGACGGACGACGACGAGGGAGGAGG
Molecule: ribosomal RNA, 609 nt
Filed under: uncultured bacterium
Lineage: Bacteria
Description: bacterial SSU rRNA
Rfam family: Bacterial small subunit ribosomal RNA (bases 1-518)
Source: RNAcentral